GUUGCUACACCACAUCACCAGGUGGACGUUGUUGAGGCUCCACCUCUUCAGCUCACAGAACUUAACCUGGUGUCAGUCACUGAAAAAACGGGCAACAUCAGAUGCAAGCUGGGAAAGAUAAAUCCAGAAUGACACUUGCCAGCCUCUCUGGAUCCCCAAAUCCCUUCUCUCUUCAUCAGCUGCCAUCUGUGUCCUUUGUCCAGAAAUGGCAUCUCUUGGAAGCAACACACUGCUGUUGGAGGGCACAGCCUGGCAGUGUGCUGCCCUGAGGAAAUACUGCUCAGCAGGCUCUGAUUUGGGGCAGCUUCCAGUUUCUGUGGUGUGAGUCCUCCCUUCACGGCCAACCUGAAGGCGCUGAUGAGACCCACUUAACGCAGAACUGGAGGAGAUGGGAGGGACCUCCUCACACCGAGUAAGACCCCAAAGCAAAAAUCAACUACAUCAGAGUAAAAGGCUUCUGCACAACAACGGAAAUCAUCCAUGAAAUGAAAAGGGAACCUAGAGAAUGGGAGAAAAUAGCUGCAAGUCAUACGUCUGAUAAAAGAUACUAUCCAAAACAUAUAAAUAGCUCACACAAUUUAAUAGCAAAACAAUGUGAUUAAAAAAUUAUCACAGGAUCUGAAUUUUUCCCAAGGAAGACACACAGAUGUCCAACAGACACAUGAAAAGAUGCUCAACACCAUGGUCAUCAGGCAAAUGCAGAUCGAACCACAGUGAGACAUCACCUCACACCUGUUAGAAUGACUGGCAACAAAGACAUGAAACACCAAGUGUUGGAACAAAGGUUUACUUCAGGACCGUGAACAGCCACCGCUCACCCCACCUCCCACAACGACCUCUCAUUUGGUAUGGGACUCCCGAAGGUGAGGGUGGAUUCAGCACUGGGUCGUGGACAGCUCCAUCUGGUGGGCUCCCAGACAUGUACCUUCUCCACUGGCUCUUGAAUGUUAUAUUAAAGAAGGUAUGUAAAUAUGAGUAUAUGAUUUACAUGUGCUGUAUGAAGAAUAUUUUCUAGGCACAUAUCUUCUCUAAUUGUUUACAUGCACUACAACUAUAUUUGAAGCAUAUAUAGACUUUUUUUCCUCUAAAGAUGUGUUCACCAAAAACACAUUUCAUAGGAGAAUACUUGAUCUUGUUUGAAAAGGGGUAACAGGAACUUACAGUUCAUUUGGGGUCUGAAGUCCAAGACCCUUUGAAAUAGGGGUAGUAAUCAAGCUAAAGACAUUAUGAACACAGAUUAACCUUGUCCAAGAACUGAGAUUUCCCCUUGCCCUCACUCAUUUUCAUCAGAGAAUGUAUGCACCAAUGGCUGGUGGUGAAUUUUUGUUGAAUUCUCCAAAACACAUCAAGAAGAUUGGUCAUAGCCUAAAAAUGUUAAAUAUUCCUCUGCCAAAGGCAGUGUCCUGUUAGAAGGUUGUACACUCUCUGGAGAAGGAUGGGAUAUCUGGUGGAUGACCAGAGAGACAAGAAUGCCCAAAUAAUCCCAAGAAAAAGCCAGCCACUGAAUCCCUGCUUUCUAUGGUAAAUAUCUUCCUAGUCAGAGACAUUUUCAAAAAAUUCACCAAGGAUGAAACAUCACAAGAUUAUGCUUUAACUAUUAACAAGCUGAUUGUAAAAUCUAUAUGGAAAUGAGAAAGGAGUGUAAGAACCAAAAAGUUCUGAAGGAAUUGUGUGAAAGCCUCACACUAUCCAGUUUCCAGCAUUACUAUGAAGCUACCAUAAGAAGGAUAGGACGGUAUUAGAAUAAGCACAGACACACAGGCAACUGGAGCAAAAUAGGGAUGAAGAAAUAGAUCCACACCAGUAGAGUCAAUGGAUUUUUACUAUGGUUCCAAGACGAAUCAAUGGAGAAAGGAUGUUCUUCCUAUCAAAUGUUGCUGGAGCAAUGGGCUAUGCCACUGGGGCUGUUGGGGUGUGUCCAUCUCUACCAGAUGCUGUAAUCGGCGUUGCACAGUGGCCACACCACGUGCAGUCCCAUCAGCAGUGUGUGAGGGGCCUGGUAGGGCCACAGCCACGUCAGCCCUGGGUUUUCUGCCGUUGCACCUGAGCCUCCCUGUGCAUGUACUGGUACCACAUGGGACUGAAUGUCCAUGUUCCUGAUGAAUUAUGGUGCACCAACUUUUCAAAAUACUGCUGUACACUGGAUUUCAAGUUUUGGAAGUGCUUGUCAAUGUUUUUGGCUUGGUUUUCUAGUGUUCUCUGCUGUCCUCUUACAGAUCUGCAUGUUUUUCUUAAAUGUUCUGAGUACCAGUCCAGGGUCUCACUUGGGCAUUGCAAAGAACUUCUCCCCUUAUGUCCCACUGGGGGGUUUGUUUCCUCUUCACUCUUGCUGGCAUCUAAGAGGAAAACAAGUUCUUAAUUUUAGUGUAUUCCAAUGUAUACAUUUUUCCACUAAGUUCAUGAUUUGAUGUCAUUUGAAAAAAUCUUUGCCUCCCACAAAAAUAUAAGAAUAGUUUCAUGUAUUUUACACAAGAAGAAGUAAUGAUUUACUUUUCACAUA
Manis javanica (Malayan pangolin) is the source of this 2500-nucleotide non-coding RNA. The record is from RefSeq and is a predicted model, not a curated record. Lineage: Eukaryota; Metazoa; Chordata; Mammalia; Pholidota; Manidae.